This is a long non-coding RNA of Ylistrum balloti, 1164 nucleotides long. RefSeq lists it as uncharacterized. The transcript is spliced from 3 exons. Lineage: Eukaryota; Metazoa; Mollusca; Bivalvia; Pectinida; Pectinidae. The record is from RefSeq and is a predicted model, not a curated record.
CAGGGCAGACAGCAACUGUUUCAUCAAAUUUUCAUGAAAAAGGAAGAAUUUUUGAAAGGGAGUAUUUAUAUAAAAUUUCUUAAAUUUAGGCCAUAUUUAGUGUGUAUAGCUUUAUUGUCAUAAAGCCCCUUUAGAGUCUACUCCUUAGUCCCUUAAGUUCAGACCCUAUUCCUCAGUCCCCUGUAGUCAGACCCUUUAGACCCUACUCCUUUGUCCCCUGGAGAAUCGGACCCUUUAGACCCUAUUUCUCGGUCCCUUUUAGUCCAACCCUUUAGAUGCUACUUUCUCAGUCUCCUAGAGUAGGACCCUUUAGACCCUACUUCUUUCUCUCCCUAGAGUCCGACCCUUCAGACCCUAUUCGGCAGUCCCAAAUAGUUAUACCCUUUAAACCCUAUCCGGCAGUCCCCAAUAGUGAAGACCAUUUAGACCCUACUCCUUUGUCCCCUGGAGUCAGCAAUAGAUUGGAGAAUUGUAGCUUCAGGUUGCAGUGAGGUACAUUUGUACAAAGUUCAGGUAUGUUUGAUUAAUUGAGUAAUCGUUAUGAACGUAAAAUAGUGUCAAUAUUUUGUAGAAAAAUUCUUUUGUGUAUUUUGUGUAUUCAUUUGUGAAUGAUUUUAGUUUUUACAUUGUUUUUCUAACGGUAAUCACAAUGGUGGUGCAGCAUCACCAAUUUUACCAAAACCGAUGGGUAUACAGUGUUUUUAUUGAUAAUCUUAAGUCUGAGUUUCUCUCAGAAUAAUAUCUUUCAGGUGGAUCUUCAGAUGGGCUCAAUUCACAUGGCUGCAUUGGAGCUGUUAGAGGUAAUUGUGAUGAUUUCAGGGAUUGGUAUGGUUAUGUCAAUGAUGGUGAUUGGUUUCUGGGAGAAGAUGAUUGCAUGGAUUAAUGAAGAUGAUAUUGGGGAUUCACAAAAUGCUGACUGUACUGAAAUGGAUCUGUCAUGGCUGCCUUGGAUUGGAGGAUGGCUUGGAGGACUGUAGCUGUGGGUUGCAGUGAGGAACAUUUGUACCAAGUUUAGAUUGACAGACUACAACGAGUGACAAGAGGGGGAAGAUGUCAAGCAUUUGAUUGGAGGUUGUACAGCAUUUGAAAGGAAACUGUUAGAGGACCAGGUGGUUAUCACAGUGUGAGGAAAGACCAGAAGAGGAGUACCUGUUAUAAUUCCAG